RNAcentral lists this ribosomal RNA (253 nucleotides) under uncultured bacterium. RNAcentral's name for it is "partial 16S ribosomal RNA". It matches the Rfam family "Bacterial small subunit ribosomal RNA", at positions 524 to 776 of the family's 1533-position model. The record is from RNAcentral.
UACAGAGGUCUCAAGCGUUGUUCGGAUUCAUUGGGCGUAAAGGGUGUGUAGGUGGCGCCGUAAGUCGGGUGUGAAAUUUCGGAGCUUAACUCCGAAACUGCAUUCGAUACUGCGGUGCUUGAGGACUGGAGAGGAGACUGGAAUUCAUGGUGUAGCAGUGAAAUGCGUAGAUAUCUGGAGGAACACCGGUGGCGAAGGCGGCAUCCUGGACCGGCAUUGACGCUGAGGCGCGAAAGCGUGGGGAGCAAACAGG